Molecule: ribosomal RNA, 253 nt
Filed under: uncultured bacterium
Lineage: Bacteria
Description: partial 16S ribosomal RNA
Rfam family: Bacterial small subunit ribosomal RNA
Source: RNAcentral
UACGUAGGGUGCAAGCGUUAAUCGGAAUUACUGGGCGUAAAGCGUGCGCAGGCGGUCUUGCAAGACAGAUGUGAAAUCCCCGGGCUCAACCUGGGAACUGCAUUUGUGACUGCAAGGCUGGAGUGCGGCAGAGGGGGAUGGAAUUCCGCGUGUAGCAGUGAAAUGCGUAGAUAUGCGGAGGAACACCGAUGGCGAAGGCAAUCCCCUGGGCCUACACUGACGCUCAUGAACGAAAGCGUGGGGAGCAAACAGG